Molecule: non-coding RNA, 89 nt
Filed under: Protocruzia adhaerens
Lineage: Eukaryota; Ciliophora; Spirotrichea
Source: RNAcentral
AGAAGAAAAGCAAUAAAAAGAAACCAAAAAAAAACAAAAAGAUGUCAAAUAUGAUCUCUUUGAAGAAUUUGCAAUUCUUCUGCAUUUUG